Molecule: ribosomal RNA, 253 nt
Filed under: uncultured bacterium
Lineage: Bacteria
Description: partial 16S ribosomal RNA
Rfam family: Bacterial small subunit ribosomal RNA
Source: RNAcentral
UACGUAGGGUGCAAGCGUUGUCCGGAAUUACUGGGCGUAAAGCGCGCGCAGGCGGUCCUUCAAGUCAGAGGUGAAAGCCCAGAGCUCAACUCUGGAAUGGCCUUUGAGACUAGAGGACUUGGGUACGGGAGAGGUGAGUGGAAUUCCGAGUGUAGAGGUGAAAUUCGUAGAUAUUCGGAAGAACACCAGUGGCGAAGGCGGCUCACUGGCCCGUUACCGACGCUCAGGCGCGACAGCGUGGGGAGCAAACAGG